Nicotiana tabacum (common tobacco) is the source of this 455-nucleotide non-coding RNA. NCBI's taxonomy places the organism in Eukaryota, Viridiplantae, Streptophyta, Magnoliopsida, Solanales, Solanaceae. The record is from RefSeq and is a predicted model, not a curated record.
UUAUUUCAAUUAAAACAGUAUAUUCUCUUUAUAGUUUAUGAUUAGACUGGUAUAAAAAAAAUUUAAUGUAGUAUUCUGAAGUAAGCAACAGCCAUGGGGAAAGUACCAAAUAGCAAUGAAAUGCUUCAUAAAAAAGUGGCAGGUAAUUUGAGAGUUCAAAAGGAAAAUGAUUUGAGAUGUUCGAAGAUGGACUUCCAUCAAUUUCUCAGGUGCAAUGAUCAGAAAAGUUUUGUUACCUUAACAAUUUUCCAAUACUCUUUGCUGAAUACCUUAGCUAGACUCAAAUCAAACUAUCCAACCCAAGAGGUGCUACCAACAACUAGCUAGGAACUAGGAAGGAUGACGCGAAAGAAACAUAAGCCGUUUGGAACACUGUAAUUGUCUGCAUACUCUGUAUAUUCUGGACAAUCUUAAAGGAAUAACAACUGAUGGAUUGCGGAACCAUCAAUAUGAAA